GCUGAACCAAAUUUCGUAGUGAAUGGUGAUUCCUUGAAUUUAGAUGGUCUUUUAAUUCUUGAAACAUUCACAAGAGUUUGUUCUUUAUUUGCAGAUGGAUGAACAAUAAUGCUUCUUUUCAGAUUCACAUAUUCGUUAAGAAUGGGUAGCAACUCAUCAGGAAUUGUUACUUGGGAAUCACGUAAAUUUGGUUGAAACUUCCCUUCUUCAAAAACUGCUUCAUGGAUAUGGACUUCUGAAUUAAUUUGUUCAUCCAAAUUUGAUUUCUCACAAUCAGCCAUUGAUGUAUUUUCAAUUAUUUCUGCAGCCGCUUCAGUG
RNAcentral lists this long non-coding RNA (318 nucleotides) under Capsicum annuum. Its description in RNAcentral is "long non-coding RNA (CANN_LNC004202)". The record is from RNAcentral. Lineage: Eukaryota; Viridiplantae; Streptophyta; Magnoliopsida; Solanales; Solanaceae.